This 76-nucleotide transfer RNA is filed under the name Thermoanaerobaculia bacterium. RNAcentral's name for it is "tRNA-Glu". It matches the Rfam family "tRNA". Rfam says of the family: Transfer RNA (tRNA) molecules are approximately 80 nucleotides in length. Their secondary structure includes four short double-helical elements and three loops (D, anti-codon, and T loops). Further hydrogen bonds mediate the characteristic L-shaped molecular structure. tRNAs have two regions of fundamental functional importance: the anti-codon, which is responsible for specific mRNA codon recognition, and the 3' end, to which the tRNAs corresponding amino acid is attached (by aminoacyl-tRNA synthetases). tRNAs cope with the degeneracy of the genetic code in two manners: having more than one tRNA (with a specific anti-codon) for a particular amino acid; and 'wobble' base-pairing, i.e. permitting non-standard base-pairing at the 3rd anti-codon position. The record is from RNAcentral. Lineage: Bacteria; Pseudomonadati; Acidobacteriota; Thermoanaerobaculia.
GGCCCGUUCGUCUAGCGGUUCAGGACGCCGGCCUCUCACGCCGGUAACACGGGUUCGAAUCCCGUACGGGCUACCA